CCUACGGGAGGCAGCAGUGGGGUNUNUUGGACAAUGGGCGCAAGCCUGAUCCAGCCAUGCCGCGUGUGUGAAGAAGGCCUUAGUGUUGUAAAGCACUUUCAGUGGGGAGGAAGGGUNUUNUGUUAAUAGCACGNCAUUUUGACGUUACCCACAGAAGAAUCACCGCUAACUNCACUGG
This 178-nucleotide ribosomal RNA is filed under the name uncultured Gammaproteobacteria bacterium. RNAcentral describes it as "partial 16S ribosomal RNA". It matches the Rfam family "Bacterial small subunit ribosomal RNA", at positions 338 to 508 of the family's 1533-position model. Lineage: Bacteria; Pseudomonadati; Pseudomonadota; Gammaproteobacteria. The record is from RNAcentral.